GUUCAAACUAACCUGUAAAUCUAAAGACAGAGAAGCUAGGAAUGGCAUAUUUUGCGGGAGAAUAGGUAAUGGAGCUUCCAAGUUUAGUACCUUAAUCACUUUCUUUAUAGAUGGUCUUGAUGUGUUAUCUGGAUUAGCACACCAAAGUCCAACUAUUCUAAUUGCUUCACAUCAUAUACCCCCACAUAGCUUUGGAUCUACUGCUACAGUUAGAUUUCUCAAUCCAUAUAGCUCCCAGACCCACUCAACUAAUGGAACUUCACCCUCCAGUUCUUGGUGGAGUAUGGCUUUUUUCCCACAGGCUAUCUCCAACAAAACAAUCCCAAAACUGAAUAUGUCAGAUUCCUUUCUAGCCUUGCCCGUGUCCAUGUAUUCAGGUGCUAGGUAG
Vicia faba (fava bean) is the source of this 388-nucleotide non-coding RNA. NCBI's taxonomy places the organism in Eukaryota, Viridiplantae, Streptophyta, Magnoliopsida, Fabales, Fabaceae. The record is from the annotation of a GenBank genome assembly.